This 246-nucleotide ribosomal RNA is filed under the name Salmonella enterica. Its description in RNAcentral is "partial 16S ribosomal RNA". It matches the Rfam family "Bacterial small subunit ribosomal RNA", at positions 1 to 243 of the family's 1533-position model. Lineage: Bacteria; Pseudomonadati; Pseudomonadota; Gammaproteobacteria; Enterobacterales; Enterobacteriaceae. The record is from RNAcentral.
AAAUUGAAGAGUUUGAUCAUGGCUCAGAUUGAACGCUGGCGGCAGGCCUAACACAUGCAAGUCGAACGGUAACAGGAAGCAGCUUGCUGCUUCGCUGACGAGUGGCGGACGGGUGAGUAACGUCUGGGAAACUGCCUGAUGGAGGGGGAUAACUACUGGAAACGGUGGCUAAUACCGCAUAACGUCGCAAGACCAAAGAGGGGGACCUUCGGGCCUCUUGCCAUCAGAUGUGCCCAGAUGGGAUUA